This 2352-nucleotide long non-coding RNA is filed under the name Heterocephalus glaber (naked mole-rat). RNAcentral's name for it is "lncRNA (ENSHGLG00000041225.1)". Lineage: Eukaryota; Metazoa; Chordata; Mammalia; Rodentia; Bathyergidae. The record is from RNAcentral.
CUUUCUUCCCCAGAGAGUGUGAGAUCAAGAAGAAUAUUUUCUUCUCCAGAGCCCUGGAAGUGUUGACAUUGACAAGGAAAGCUAUGGAGCUGAUGAUGCUUCCCUUUUGGCCUUGCUUGCCAGGAAACUUGUACUUUUUGUCUUAUUGCUUGCUUCCCUUUUCCAUGGUUUGGGUUUUCUGCCUUUAACGGCCUUUUAAUUUAUGUGAGCUGUUCCACUCAUGGGAGGAGUGGGAUACGGAAAGGUUGAACUGAAUAGGAAAGGAAAGAUCGAAAACUGCAAGGAAAUACCUUACAUAAAACUCCGAACUUAAGGAAAGGGCUGUCCCUGUCUCCUAUCUGUUCCUUCCACAGAGCUCUGGCUCUGGCUCUGGCUUAGGAAUUUUGCAUGGGCAGCUCAGUGGUGAUUUCCUCUCUCACAUCUGGGUCAGUGGCACUUUUGCACUUAGAAUGUAACCGAAGGCCUGCCCAGCUUUCCCACCUCAGCUUGUCCCUUGUCCCUUUGCUCACCAGGGUAACCACUUGGGUCAUCUUUUAGAUCUACCCUAAGCCAAUGUCUCUCCUGCCUCAGGAAAAGAGGCUUUUUGAACGCUGUUCCUUUUGCCUGGGACUCCCUGAUCCCACCUCCUGUUUUUGCCUGGAUUCUUUUCCUUACCUUUAGAUUUCAGCUGAAAGCCCAUAGCUCAAAGUACCUCGUGUUCCCGUCUGCUUUAUCUUUGGGGCAGUGGACAUGAGCUGCAGGGACAAGGACUGUGUUUGUCCUGCUCACCACUACUGCCAACAUUGAGCACAGCAAAUGACUUGUCGCAAGAGCUGAAUGAAUGAAUGAGUCGCAUCAGUGGGAUCCUGCAGUGUCUCCUAGAGCCACUGUGAGCCUCUGUGGCUGGAAUCCAGGCUGGGACAGAGCCAGGGGACAAGGUGGGCAUGGCCCAAGCCUCAGCCCUCUGGGGCUUUCACAGUCAGAACUGUGCAGGGAGCCUGGGGACCUCUGUUCCUGCCAGGCCUCCCAGCUCUGCCAGGGAGAAUCGCCCCCUCCCCCUUUCUUUGGUGCUGGGGAUCAAACAAGGACCUUGUGAAUGGCCAGCAAGUUCUCUACCCACCCAGCCACCUUCCCUUUCCUUCCCCCUCCCUCUACCUCAGUGGGGCACCUGGGAAGUCUGUUUGUGUGUGCAUGUGUACCGAUGAUGGGGACAGGACAGAGUCAUGGGGCCAGCUCUGUCCCAUUCUGAGCACGGUUUGGACAUAUGGCCACGGUGGUCGCUGAGUGCCCAGUCAGAAAGGAAGUGCUGCCCACCUGUGAGCCUGUGUUCCGGUAACCAUGUCCCAUGUCCCUGAUUCAUCUGUAUCAUCCGGUGUUAUUGGAAGUUGUUCCUCCUCCCCUCUUACAGACGAGGUUAGCUGAUGCUUAGAUUACUUGUCCCAAAUCCUACUGCCUCUAAGUGGUAGAGGCAGGAUUUGAACCGUGGCAGUGUGGCUCCAGAAGCCACCAUCUUAACCAUUCUGCUUCUCUGAGCCUCACUCUGCAUCUCUGGAAAGGAGCUAAUAAUACCUGCUUAACACAGCUGUGAUAAUAUACAAUCCACUUGCCAGGCAUAGGGAAGGUUCCCAAUAAAUCUCAGUGUUUAGUGGCAAGAUAGAUAAACGGGCCUCACUAGGGAGGGUUUUCAAGGCUGUACUGUGAGGGCCGGGAGCCAUUGAAAGUUUUUGAGCAAGAGAGUGACAUGAAGAGAUUGUGGCUGAGUUCAGAUCCUGCCCUUUCCCUUUGCUGCUCCCCCUACCUGAUGCUGGUGGCUGAGCUCCACUCACCCCUGCCUUAUCUCCCUGUGGGCUUUUGAGGUCUGAGCUAUUUGAGAAGUGUGACAGGUCAUCCUUGACCUCCUGAAUGAAGGGGACAGGAAGGGAUGCUGCUCCCCUUCCCGGUGGCCUCUAGGUCUCUCCAGUCUCAUCUCAAGGGGCAGCCUCAGAGCCCUAUUUGUGCCCUGUUUCCAUCUCCACUUUGAACACUAGCAAUUGUGAGAGGCACCUGGCUUCCUCUCACCAUCGACUCCUUAUCCCAUUCUGGCUAUCUGACCCUGUGCUCUGUUCCUUAGUCCUGUUGGGUGUUUAUGGUCGGGCGCGCACGCGCACUCUCAUGCACUGCCCUCGGCCCGUGGCAUGUGUGCUGUGCACAUGAGCAUCCGUGAUGUACUGUUACCUGUGCUUGUCUAUGUGCAUCGAUGGCUUCUGGCUGCACACGGAUGAGGGGUGCAGAGGACCCGUGUGGUGGCCUCCACCUCCUCGCCACUGUCCCCUCUCUGUGCUUCCUUCUGUCCUCAUCAGCGUCUCUGCUCACCCAUGCCUUGGUCCCUUGAAG